UGGACAAAAUGCUUUGAAAAGAAAGAGCUUUUUCUUCUUCAACAUCUUCCAGAGCUUCGAUGGCCUUGUCAAUUGCUAGAGAAAUUGGAGAAAGGGCAUGAAGGUUGUGUGAUAUCCACUUGGACGUUCAACCUCUCACAAACGUCAUGAAUUCGACACCAAUGAAGACUUCUUCAGCUUCAACCUGCUCCGACUAACACCAGCUCAAAUAUUGAGAUCAAAGAACUAAUACCACUACAUCAACCCCUGAAUCUGAAAGGUUCGGGCCGUUGAGGAUUCAAGUUUACUUCUCAAGACACUUGGAGUUGCUUCCCUAAGUUGGUGAGUCCUCAAGUCCGAGGACAAGACCCUAUGAUCUAGCUUUUAUGUUUAGUUCUUUGCUUAUGUUUAAAGACAUUGUUGUACUUCCUAUUUUCAAGACUUCUUAUUGAUGUAAGGGCUAAGUCCCAUUUUCGAUACUUCUAUGUCUAGAUGGUGCAU
Molecule: long non-coding RNA, 480 nt
Organism: Solanum stenotomum
Lineage: Eukaryota; Viridiplantae; Streptophyta; Magnoliopsida; Solanales; Solanaceae
Exons: 3
Source: RefSeq, a predicted model, not a curated record